Molecule: ribosomal RNA, 497 nt
Filed under: uncultured bacterium
Lineage: Bacteria
Description: partial 16S ribosomal RNA
Rfam family: Bacterial small subunit ribosomal RNA
Source: RNAcentral
GAUGAACGCUGGCGGCGUGCCUAAUACAUGCAAGUCGAGCGAACAGACGAGGAGCUUGCUCCUCUGACGUUAGCGGCGGACGGGUGAGUAACACGUGGAUAACCUACCUAUAAGACUGGGAUAACUUCGGGAAACCGGAGCUAAUACCGGAUAAUAUCUUGAACCGCAUGGUUCAUUAGUGAAAGACGGUUUUGCUGUCACUUAUAGAUGGUUCCGCGCCGCAUUAGCUAGUUGGUAAGGUAACGGCUUACCAAGGCAACGAUGCGUAGCCGACCUGAGAGGGGGAUCGGCCACACUGGAACUGAGACACGGUCCAGACUCCUACGGGAGGCAGCAGUAGGGAAUCUUCCGCAAUGGGCGAAAGCCUGACGGAGCAACGCCGCGUGAGUGAUGAAGGUCUUCGGAUCGUAAAACUCUGUUAUUAGGGAAGAACAAAUGUGUAAGUAACUAUGCACGUCUUGACGGUACCUAAUCAGAAAGCCACGGCUAACUACGUG